GAGGACUCGGGAGUAGGUGUAAGUGGGAAGAGAUACAUCGAAAUUUGAUUUAGUUGGGGUACACACCGCCCGUCAACCAGAAUAAUUAUUAGUUUUGGUAAGUCGUAACAUGGUAACGCUGGGGGAACCGGGCGUUAGUUAAUAGGGUGUUUAUUUUUCCUAUUAUAAAGCUUG
This 174-nucleotide ribosomal RNA is filed under the name Clonorchis sinensis. Its description in RNAcentral is "partial small subunit ribosomal RNA". The stretch from base 1 to 145 matches the Rfam family "Microsporidia small subunit ribosomal RNA", at positions 1128 to 1311 of the family's 1311-position model. Lineage: Eukaryota; Metazoa; Platyhelminthes; Trematoda; Opisthorchiida; Opisthorchiidae. The record is from RNAcentral.